Molecule: ribosomal RNA, 464 nt
Filed under: uncultured bacterium
Lineage: Bacteria
Description: partial 16S ribosomal RNA
Rfam family: Bacterial small subunit ribosomal RNA
Source: RNAcentral
GACGAACGCUGGCGGCGUGCUUAACACAUGCAAGUCGAACGGAAAGGCCCUGCUUGCAGGGUACUCGAGUGGCGAACGGGUGAGUAACACGUGGGUGAUCUGCCCUGCACUUCGGGAUAAGCCUGGGAAACUGGGUCUAAUACCGGAUAGGAGCCAUUUUUAGUGUGAUGGUUGGAAAGUUUUUUCGGUGUAGGAUGAGCUCGCGGCCUAUCAGCUUGUUGGUGGGGUAAUGGCCUACCAAGGCGGCGACGGGUAGCCGGCCUGAGAGGGUGGACGGCCACAUUGGGACUGAGAUACGGCCCAGACUCCUACGGGAGGCAGCAGUGGGGAAUAUUGCACAAUGGGCGCAAGCCUGAUGCAGCGACGCCGCGUGGGGGAUGACGGCCUUCGGGUUGUAACUCCUUUCGCUAGGGACGAAGCUUUUUGUGACGGUACCUAGAGAAGAAGCACCGGCUAACUACGUG